RNAcentral lists this ribosomal RNA (254 nucleotides) under uncultured bacterium. RNAcentral's name for it is "partial 16S ribosomal RNA". It matches the Rfam family "Bacterial small subunit ribosomal RNA", at positions 524 to 776 of the family's 1533-position model. The record is from RNAcentral.
UACGGAGGGUGCGGGCGUUGUCCGGAAUCAUUGGGCGUAAAGGGCGCGUAGGUGGCCCGGUCAGUUCGUGGUGAAAGCGCGGGGCUCAACCCUGCGUCGGCCAUGAAUACUGCCGCGGCUGGAGCACUGUAGAGGCAGGCGGAAUUCCGGGUGUAGCGGUGGAAUGCGUAGAGAUCCGGAAGAACACCGGUGGCGAAGGCGGCCUGCUGGGCAGUUGCUGACACUGAGGCGCGACAGCGUGGGGAGCAAACAGG